GACGUAGGGCGCGAGCGUUGUCCGGAUUUAUUGGGCGUAAAGAGCGCGUAGGCGGUCCGAUAAGUCGGCUGUGAAAGUCAAGGGCUCAACCCUUGAAAGCCGGCCGAUACUGUCGGACUAGAGUCCGGAAGAGGCGAGUGGAAUUCCCGGUGUAGCGGUGAAAUGCGCAGAUAUCGGGAGGAACACCAACGGCGAAAGCACUCUGCUGGGCCGACACUGACACUGAGAGACGAAAGCUAGGGGAGCGAAUGGG
RNAcentral lists this ribosomal RNA (253 nucleotides) under uncultured bacterium. RNAcentral's name for it is "partial 16S ribosomal RNA". It matches the Rfam family "Bacterial small subunit ribosomal RNA", at positions 524 to 776 of the family's 1533-position model. The record is from RNAcentral.